Non-coding RNA from Nitzschia inconspicua, 72 nucleotides. NCBI's taxonomy places the organism in Eukaryota, Bacillariophyta, Bacillariophyceae, Bacillariales, Bacillariaceae. The record is from the annotation of a GenBank genome assembly.
GCUAUCAUCGUACAGUGGUUAGUACCCCGCAUUGUGGUUGCGGAAACCCUGGUUCGAUUCCAGGUGAUGGCA